CCUACGGGAGGCAGCAGUGAGGAAUAUUGGUCAAUGGACGAAAGUCUGAACCAGCCACGUAGCGUGAAGGAUGACUGCCCUAUGGGUUGUAAACUUCUUUUAUAAAGGAAUAAAACGAGGUACGUGUCCAUUUUUGCAUGUACUUUAUGAAUACGGAACGGCUAAUUCCGUGCAAGCAGCCGCGGUAAUACGGAGGAUCUGAGCGUUAUCCGGAUUUAGUGGGUUUAAAGGGAGCGUAGUGGGGUUGUUAAGUUAGAUGUGAAAGCUUGCGGCUCAACCGGAAAAUUGCAAUUGAUACUGGGAGUCUUGAGUACAGGGGAGGUAGGCGGAAUUCGUGGUGUAGCGGUGAAAUGCUUAGAUAUGACGAAGAACCCUGAUUGCGAAGGCAGCUUACUGAA
Molecule: ribosomal RNA, 398 nt
Filed under: uncultured bacterium
Lineage: Bacteria
Description: partial 16S ribosomal RNA
Rfam family: Bacterial small subunit ribosomal RNA
Source: RNAcentral